RNAcentral lists this ribosomal RNA (484 nucleotides) under uncultured bacterium. Its description in RNAcentral is "partial 16S ribosomal RNA". It matches the Rfam family "Bacterial small subunit ribosomal RNA", at positions 30 to 507 of the family's 1533-position model. The record is from RNAcentral.
AUUGAACGCUGGCGGCAGGCCUAACACAUGCAAGUCGAGCGGAUGAAGGGAGCUUGCUCCUGGCUUCAGCGGCGGACGGGUGAGUAAUGCCUAGGAAUCUGCCUGGUAGUGGGGGCUAACGUCCGGAAACGGGCGCUAAUACCGCAUACGUCCUGAGGGUGAACGUGGGGGAUCUUCGGACCUCACGCUAUCAGAUGAGCCUAGGUCGGAUUAGCUAGUUGGUGGGGUAAAGGCCUACCAAGGCGACGAUCCGUAACUGGUCUGAGAGGAUGAUCAGUCACACUGGAACUGAGACACGGUCCAGACUCCUACGGGAGGCAGCAGUGGGGAAUAUUGGACAAUGGGCGAAAGCCUGAUCCAGCCAUGCCGCGUGUGUGAAGAAGGUCUUCGGAUUGUAAAGCACUUUAAGUUGGGAGGAAGGGCAGUAAGUUAAUACCUUGCUGUUUUGACGUUACCAACAGAAUAAGCACCGGCUAACUUCGUG